UACGUAUGGUGCAAGCGUUGUUCGGAAUCACUGGGCGUAAAGGGUGCGCAGGCGGAUUGCUAAGUCGGAAGUGAAACCUGAGGGCUCAACCCUCAGCCUGCUUUCGAAACUGGUAAUCUGGAGUCCCGGAGAGGCAGGCGGAAUUCCCGGUGUAGCGGUGAAAUGCACAGAUAUCGGGAGGAACACCAAUGGCGAAGGCAGCCUGCUGGACGGAGACUGACGCUCAUGCACGAAAGCGUGGGGAUCAAAC
Molecule: ribosomal RNA, 250 nt
Filed under: uncultured bacterium
Lineage: Bacteria
Description: partial 16S ribosomal RNA
Rfam family: Bacterial small subunit ribosomal RNA
Source: RNAcentral